GAUGAAGAACGUAGCGAAAUGCGAUACGUAAUGUGAAUUGCAGAAUUCAGUGAAUCAUCGAAUCUUUGAACGCAUAUUGCGCUCUCUGGUAUUCCGGAGAGCAUGCUUGUUUGAGUAUCAGUAAACACCUCAACAUCCAUAUCUUUUUUUGAAAUGGGAGUUGGACUUGAGUGAUCCCAACGCUUUUCCUCACCGAAAAGUGGCGGGUUACUUGAAAUGCAGGUGCAGCUGGACUUUUCUCUGAGCUAUAAGCAUAUCUAUUUAGUCUGCGUAAAAAACAGAUUAUUACCUUUGCUGCAGCUAACAUAAAGGAGAUUAGUUCUUGUGCUGACUGAUGCAGGAUUCACAAAGACAGCUUCGGCCGACUUUGUAAACUCGAUCUCAAAUCAAGUAAGACUACCCGCUGAACUUAAGCAUAUCAAUAAGCGGAGGA
RNAcentral lists this unclassified non-coding RNA (433 nucleotides) under soil metagenome. RNAcentral describes it as "partial contains 5.8S ribosomal RNA, internal transcribed spacer 2, and large subunit ribosomal RNA". The stretch from base 1 to 120 matches the Rfam family "5.8S ribosomal RNA", at positions 35 to 154 of the family's 154-position model. The record is from RNAcentral.